Molecule: ribosomal RNA, 669 nt
Filed under: uncultured Caryophanales bacterium
Lineage: Bacteria; Bacillati; Bacillota; Bacilli; Caryophanales
Description: bacterial SSU rRNA
Rfam family: Bacterial small subunit ribosomal RNA
Source: RNAcentral
AGUGCUGCAGCUAACGCAUUAAGCACUCCGCCUGGGGAGUACGGCCGCAAGGCUGAAACUCAAAGGAAUUGACGGGGGCCCGCACAAGCGGUGGAGCAUGUGGUUUAACUCGAAGCAACGCGAAGAACCUUACCAGGUCUUGACAUCCUCUGACACUCCUAGAGAUAGGAAUUUCCCCUUCGGGGGACAGAGUGACAGGUGGUGCAUGGUUGUCGUCAGCUCGUGUCGUGAGAUGUUGGGUUAAGUCCCGCAACGAGCGCAACCCUUGAUCUUAGUUGCCAGCAUUCAGUUGGGCACUCUAAGGUGACUGCCGGUGACAAACCGGAGGAAGGUGGGGAUGACGUCAAAUCAUCAUGCCCCUUAUGACCUGGGCUACACACGUGCUACAAUGGAUGGUACAAAGGGCAGCAAAACCGCGAGGUUAAGCCAAUCCCAUAAAACCAUUCUCAGUUCGGAUUGUAGGCUGCAACUCGCCUACAUGAAGCCGGAAUCGCUAGUAAUCGCGGAUCAGCAUGCCGCGGUGAAUACGUUCCCGGGCCUUGUACACACCGCCCGUCACACCACGAGAGUUUGUAACACCCGAAGUCGGUGGGGUAACCGUAAGGAGCCAGCCGCCUAAGGUGGGACAUAUGAUUGGGGUGAAGUCGUAACAAGGUAGCCGUAUCGGAA